GCUACACAAGUGUUUUGCUUUACUGAAUACACAGUGCCUGAUUGUUCUCCAAAGCUGCUGAGGCAAUUUACUUUGCCAUCAAUAACGGGUGACAUGCAAGGGGCCUUUUCACUUCAACAGAAAAACAAGUCAUUGUUUAGUUUAAAAUAAUGGAAAAUCAUUGUGUAGUGAAUGAUCGUGUGUUCACACUUGCACAUGUGUGUAUAAAUAAAGGUCAUUUUUUUCUAA
This is a long non-coding RNA of Homo sapiens (human), 228 nucleotides long. RefSeq lists it as uncharacterized. Lineage: Eukaryota; Metazoa; Chordata; Mammalia; Primates; Hominidae. The transcript has 2 exons. The record is from RefSeq and is a predicted model, not a curated record.